Molecule: transfer RNA, 56 nt
Filed under: Gnathostoma spinigerum
Lineage: Eukaryota; Metazoa; Nematoda; Chromadorea; Rhabditida; Gnathostomatidae
Description: tRNA-His
Source: RNAcentral
AGCUUUGUAGUUUAUGUUAAAAAUUUUUGUUUGUGGUACGAAAGAUUAGUGAGCUA